AGUAAGGGAAAAUCAAACCCCUUUCUACACAGGUUGGGAUCGGUUGCAAUGCUGUGUUUCUGUAUGGUAUUGCACUUGUCCCGGCCUGUUGAGUUUGGUGGGGAUUGUGACCAGAAGAUUU
Molecule: microRNA precursor, 121 nt
Filed under: Cervus elaphus hippelaphus
Lineage: Eukaryota; Metazoa; Chordata; Mammalia; Artiodactyla; Cervidae
Rfam family: mir-92 microRNA precursor family (bases 21-98)
About the family: This family represents the microRNA precursor mir-92. Human miR-92 has two predicted hairpin precursor sequences: mir-92-1 on chromosome 13 and mir-92-2 on chromosome X. miR-92 has also been cloned from mouse embryonic stem cells.
Source: RNAcentral